CCUACGGGUGGCAGCAGUAAGGAAUAUUGGUCAAUGGACGCAAGUCUGAACCAGCCAUGCCGCGUGGAGGAUGAAGGCCCUCUGGAUUGUAAAUUUCUUUUAUUUGGGAAGAAACUCCCGAUUUCCAUCGGGAUUGACGGUACCAGAUGAAUAAGCACCGGCUAACUCCGUGCCAGCAGCCGCGGUAAUACGGAGGGUGCAGGCGUUAUCCGGAUUCACUGGGUUUUAGGGGUGCGUAUAAGUCAGUGGUGAAAUUUCCGGGCUUAACCCGGAAACUGCCAUUGAUACUAUUUGUCUUGAAUACUCUGGAGGUGAGCGGAAUAUGUCAUGUAGCGGUGAAAUGCUUAGAUAUGACAUAGAACACCCAUUGCGAAGGCAGCUCACUACGGAAAUAUUGACGCUGAGGCACGAAAGCGUGGGGAUCAAACAGGAUUAGAUACCCCUGUAGUC
This 450-nucleotide ribosomal RNA is filed under the name uncultured bacterium. RNAcentral's name for it is "partial 16S ribosomal RNA". It matches the Rfam family "Bacterial small subunit ribosomal RNA", at positions 338 to 795 of the family's 1533-position model. The record is from RNAcentral.